CUGAAUUGUGGGUAAUGGCUUC
RNAcentral lists this non-coding RNA (22 nucleotides) under Rattus norvegicus (Norway rat). The record is from RNAcentral. Lineage: Eukaryota; Metazoa; Chordata; Mammalia; Rodentia; Muridae.